This 472-nucleotide ribosomal RNA is filed under the name uncultured bacterium. RNAcentral's name for it is "bacterial SSU rRNA". It matches the Rfam family "Bacterial small subunit ribosomal RNA", at positions 355 to 825 of the family's 1533-position model. The record is from RNAcentral.
UGGGGAAUAUUGGACAAUGGGGGCAACCCUGAUCCAGCGAUGCCGCGUGUGCGAAGAAGGCCUGCGGGUUGUAAAGCACUUUGGUUGGGGAAGAAGGUUGGUAGUUGAAUAGGCUACUGAAUUGACGUUACCCAAAGAACAAGCACCGGCUAACUCUGUGCCAGCAGCCGCGGUAAUACAGAGGGUGCGAGCGUUAAUCGGAAUUACUGGGCGUAAAGGGUGCGUAGGCGGUUGUUUAAGUUAGAUGUGAAAUCCCCGGGCUUAACCUGGGAAUUGCAUUUAAGACUGGACGGCUAGAGUAGAGUAGAGGGAAGUGGAAUUUCCGGUGUAGCGGUGAAAUGCGUAGAGAUCGGAAGGAACAUCAGUGGCGAAGGCGGCCACCUGGACCGAUACUGACACUGAGGCGCGAAAGCGUGGGUAGCAAACAGGAUUAGAUACCCUCGUAGUCCCUGAGCGGGCUGGCAAGGCGCAU